AAUGAACGCUGGCGGCAGGCCUAACACAUGCAAGUCGAGCGGAGUGGCGGACGGGCGAGUAAUGCCUAGGUAUCUGCCCGGCAGUUGGGGAUAACGUCCGGAAUCGGGCCCUAAUACCGUACCCUUAUAGAUGAGCCUAGGUCGGAUUAGCUAGUUGGUGGGGUAAAGGCUUACCAAGGCGACGAUCCGUAACUGGUCUGAGAGGAUGAUCAGUCACACUGGAACUGAGACACGGUCCAGACUCCUACGGGAGGCAGCAGUGGGGAAUAUUGGGCAAUGGGCGAAAGCCUGAUCCAGCCAUGCCGCGUGUGUGAAGAAGGUCUUCGGAUUGUAAAGCACUUUAAGUUGGGAGGCGUUACCAACAGAAUAAGCACCGGCUAACUACGUGCCAGCAGCCGCGGUAAUAC
RNAcentral lists this ribosomal RNA (407 nucleotides) under uncultured bacterium. Its description in RNAcentral is "partial 16S ribosomal RNA". It matches the Rfam family "Bacterial small subunit ribosomal RNA", at positions 29 to 526 of the family's 1533-position model. The record is from RNAcentral.